UGUAAUGAUUUUUCAUUUAAAUGCUCUGGCGCUGAGGAUGGGUCUGCGGCAGAUUAGGUAGUUGGUAGGGUAAUGGCUACCAAGCCGGUGAUCUGUACGGGUUGUGAGAGCAAGAGCCCGGAGAUGGAACUGAGACAAGGUUCCAGGCCUACGGGGCGCAGCAGGCGCGAAACCUCCGCAAUGCGAGAAAUCGCGACGAGGGGACCCCAAGUGCCACUCUUAACGGGGUGGCUUUUCUUAAGUGUAAAAAGCUUUUGGAAUAAGGGCUGGGCAAGACCGGUGCCAGCCGCCGCGGUAACACCGGCAGCUCUAGUGGUAGCCAUUUUUAUUGGGCCUAAAGCGUUCGUAGCCGGUUUGAUAAGUCUCUGGUGAAAUCCUGUAGCUUAACUGUGGGAAUUGCUGGAGAUACUAUUAGACUUGAGGUCGGGAGAGGUUAGCGGUACUCCCAGGGUAGGGGUGAAAUCCUGUAAUCCUGGGAGGACCACCUGUGGCGAAGGCGGCUAACUGGAACGAACCUGACGGUGAGGGACGAAAGCCAGGGGCGCGAACCGGAUUAGAUACCCGGGUAGUCCUGGCCGUAAACGAUGUGGACUUGGUGUUGGGAUGGCUUCGAGCUGUUUCAGUGCCGAAGGGAAGCUGUUAAGUCCACCGCCUGGGAAGUACGGUCGCAAGACUGAAACUUAA
Molecule: ribosomal RNA, 684 nt
Filed under: uncultured archaeon
Lineage: Archaea
Description: bacterial SSU rRNA
Rfam family: Archaeal small subunit ribosomal RNA
Source: RNAcentral